This 1716-nucleotide ribosomal RNA is filed under the name Campylobacter jejuni. RNAcentral's name for it is "partial 23S ribosomal RNA". It matches the Rfam family "Bacterial large subunit ribosomal RNA", at positions 1 to 1735 of the family's 2925-position model. Lineage: Bacteria; Pseudomonadati; Campylobacterota; Epsilonproteobacteria; Campylobacterales; Campylobacteraceae. The record is from RNAcentral.
AGGUAAGCUACUAAGAGCGAAUGGUGGAUGCCUUGACUGGUAAAGGCGAUGAAGGACGUACUAGACUGCGAUAAGCUACGGGGAGCUGUCAAGAAGCUUUGAUCCGUAGAUUUCCGAAUGGGGCAACCCAAUGUAUAGAGAUAUACAUUACCUAUAUAGGAGCGAACGAGGGGAAUUGAAACAUCUUAGUACCCUCAGGAAAAGAAAUCAAUAGAGAUUGCGUCAGUAGCGGCGAGCGAAAGCGCAAGAGGGCAAACCCAGUGCUUGCACUGGGGGUUGUAGGACUGCAAUGUGCAAGAGGUAAGUUUAGCAGAACAUUCUGGAAAGUAUAACCAUAGAGGGUGAUAGUCCCGUAUGCGAAAAACAAACCUUAGCUAGCAGUAUCCUGAGUAGGGCGGGACACGAGGAAUCCUGUCUGAAUCCGGGUCGACCACGAUCCAACCCUAAAUACUAAUACCAGAUCGAUAGUGCACAAGUACCGUGAGGGAAAGGUGAAAAGAACUGAGGUGAUCAGAGUGAAAUAGAACCUGAAACCAUUUGCUUACAAUCAUUCAGAGCCUUAUGUAGCAAUACAGGGUGAUGGACUGCCUUUUGCAUAAUGAGCCUGCGAGUUGUGGUGUCUGGCAAGGUUAAGCAAACGCGAAGCCGUAGCGAAAGCGAGUCUGAAUAGGGCGCUUAGUCAGAUGCUGCAGACCCGAAACGAAGUGAUCUAUCCAUGAGCAAGUUGAAGCUAGUGUAAGAACUAGUGGAGGACUGAACCCAUAGGCGUUGAAAAGCCCCGGGAUGACUUGUGGAUAGGGGUGAAAGGCCAAUCAAACUUCGUGAUAGCUGGUUCUCUCCGAAAUAUAUUUAGGUAUAGCGUUGUGUCGUAAUAUAAGGGGGUAGAGCACUGAAUGGGCUAGGGCAUACACCAAUGUACCAAACCCUAUCAAACUCCGAAUACCUUAUAUGUAAUCACAGCAGUCAGGCGGCGAGUGAUAAAAUCCGUCGUCAAGAGGGAAACAACCCAGACUACCAGCUAAGGUCCCUAAAUCUUACUUAAGUGGAAAACGAUGUGAAGUUACUUAAACAACCAGGAGGUUGGCUUAGAAGCAGCCAUCCUUUAAAGAAAGCGUAAUAGCUCACUGGUCUAGUGAUUUUGCGCGGAAAAUAUAACGGGGCUAAAGUAAGUACCGAAGCUGUAGACUUAGUUUACUAAGUGGUAGGAGAGCGUUCUAUUUGCGUCGAAGGUAUACCGGUAAGGAGUGCUGGAGCGAAUAGAAGUGAGCAUGCAGGCAUGAGUAGCGAUAAUUAAUGUGAGAAUCAUUAACGCCGUAAACCCAAGGUUUCCUACGCGAUGCUCGUCAUCGUAGGGUUAGUCGGGUCCUAAGUCGAGUCCGAAAGGGGUAGACGAUGGCAAAUUGGUUAAUAUUCCAAUACCAACAUUAGUGUGCGAUGGAAGGACGCUUAGGGCUAAGGGGGCUAGCGGAUGGAAGUGCUAGUCUAAGGUCGUAGGAGGUUAUACAGGCAAAUCCGUAUAACAAUACUCCGAGAACUGAAAGGCUUUUUGAAGUCUUCGGAUGGAUAGAAGAACCCCUGAUGCCGUCGAGCCAAGAAAAGUUUCUAAGUUUAGCUAAUGUUGCCCGUACCGUAAACCGACACAGGUGGGUGGGAUGAGUAUUCUAAGGCGCGUGGAAGAACUCUCUUUAAGGAACUCUGCAAAAUAGCACCGUAUCU